GAGGAAUAUUGGUCAAUGGACGGAAGUCUGAACCAGCCAAGUAGCGUGCAGGAAGACGGCCCUAUGGGUUGUAAACUGCUUUUAUACGAGAAUAAUUUGAUGCACGUGUGCGUUAUUGCAUGUAUCGUAUGAAUAAGGACCGGCUAAUUCCGUGCCAGCAGCCGCGGUAAUACGGAAGGUCCAGGCGUUAUCCGGAUUUAUUGGGUUUAAAGGGAGUGUAGGCGGUUUGUUAAGCGUGUUGUGAAAUUUAGGUGCUCAACAUUUAACUUGCAGCGCGAACUGUCAGACUUGAGUACACGCAACGUAUGCGGAAUUCAUGGUGUAGCGGUGAAAUGCUUAGAUAUCAUGAAGAACUCCGAUUGCGAAGGCAGCAUACGGGAGUGUAACUGACGCUUAAGCUCGAAGGUGCGGGUAUCGAACAGGAUUAGAUACCCUGGUAGUCCGCACAGUAAACGAUGGAUGCCCGCUGUUAGCGCCUGGCGUUAGCGGCUAAGCGAAAGCAUUAAGCAUCCCACCUGGGGAGUACGCUGGCAACGGUG
This 539-nucleotide ribosomal RNA is filed under the name uncultured bacterium. RNAcentral describes it as "bacterial SSU rRNA". It matches the Rfam family "Bacterial small subunit ribosomal RNA", at positions 356 to 896 of the family's 1533-position model. The record is from RNAcentral.